CAGCAGCCGCGGGAAUACGGAGGGUGCAAGCGUUAAUCGGAAUUACUGGGCGUAAAGCGCACGCAGGCGGUCUGUCAAGUCAGAUGUGAAAUCCCCGGGCUUAACCUGGGAACUGCAUUUGAAACUGGCAGGCUAGAGUCUUGUAGAGGGGGGUAGAAUUCCAGGUGUAGCGGUGAAAUGCGUAGAGAUCUGGAGGAAUACCGGUGGCGAAGGCGGCCCCCUGGACAAAGACUGACGCUCAGGUGCGAAAGCGUGGGGAGCAAACAGGAUUAGAUACCCGUGUAGUCCCUGUCUCUUAUAC
This 301-nucleotide ribosomal RNA is filed under the name uncultured bacterium. RNAcentral's name for it is "partial 16S ribosomal RNA". It matches the Rfam family "Bacterial small subunit ribosomal RNA", at positions 509 to 807 of the family's 1533-position model. The record is from RNAcentral.